GCAAAGGGUGCGGAACACGUACGCAACUUCCUUUAAGCGGGGAAUAGCCCAGGGAAACUUGGAUUAAUACCCCAUAAGACAAUGGUGUGGCAUCACACAGUUGUUAAAGCUCCGGCACUUAAAGAUGGGCGUGCGGCUGAUUAGGUAGUUGGCGGGGUAACGGCCCACCAAGCCGACGAUCAGUAACUGGUGUGAGAGCACGACCAGUCACACGGGCACUGAGACACGGGCCCGACUCCUACGGGAGGCAGCAGUAAGGAAUAUUGGUCAAUGGACGCAAGUCUGAACCAGCCAUGCCGCGUGGAGGAUGAAGGCCCUCUGGGUUGUAAACUUCUUUUAUUGGGGAAGAAAUCUGUUUUUUCUAAAGCAGUUGACGGUACCCGAUGAAUAAGCACCGGCUAACUCCGUGCCAGCAGCCGCGGUAAUACGGAGGGUGCAAGCGUUAUCCGGAUUCACUGGGUUUAAAGGGUGCGUAGGUGGGCAGGUAAGUCAGUGGUGAAAUCUCUGGGCUUAACCCAGAAACUGCCGUUGAUACUAUCUGUCUUGAAUGUAGUGGAGGUGAGCGGGAAUAUGUCAUGUUAGCG
Molecule: ribosomal RNA, 584 nt
Filed under: uncultured bacterium
Lineage: Bacteria
Description: bacterial SSU rRNA
Rfam family: Bacterial small subunit ribosomal RNA
Source: RNAcentral